AUUGAUCUUCUGUUGUGGGAGCAGCUGCAGGCUCCCCACCCUGUGAGAGCUUUCGUGUGCCAAGUCAUUGGCUACAGGUGGCAAAGUUGUGGCUCCAGUUCAAGUCUCUCCCCUGGAGCUGGAUGUUCCAGAAAGGACACUCAGUUCUUCAGGGCUGUCUCUGUGAUCCAGGCUUUGAUCUGGGAAAGGUUGCGCCUCAUUGCAGAGUUGAAGCUAUCUGCCUGCUUUGUUUACACGAACGCCCUUCCAGGACUCUGUCUGCUUUUGGGGUGGAAGUGCCCUGCCAAAAACUCCAGCUCUCCAUGCUGGCUGUGUGGCCAGCAUACCUCCUGCCUUUUCAACGAUUCCUCUGCCCUGGAUAGAGAGCGGUGUCUCAUAACAGUUUGGAAACUACAAAAGUUUCCCUGGCAGGAUGAAUGAUUGACUCGGCAACAUGUUCUUGCCUUUUGGAGUUGCCCUCCAAUUUUUCCAGGCUUGAUUCUGUAAAUCAUUUCAUCUUGUAAAAAUACUGGGCUGUGAGCACGGAUGAUCUCAAAGAUGAGGAAACAGAAGCUGGGAUAUGUGAGUAAACAUUUCCAAGGUCCUGCAGCUAAUCAAUGGUUGACAACUUCUUUCCUCUGCCUAUGUUGCCAUCCAUGUCAUGGUUUGUGUCAAGACUCUAGGAGAAGUCUACCAUCAGCACCACAGCUACUGUGCACAAAUCCAGAAUGCCAGACUGAAGUCAGAAGGAAAGAGAUGAUGCAGCUCAUUGCUGAUGCUGAGAUCCAACGUCCAGUGCCUGAGUACCCCUGGAUUCUGAGCACUAGGGGCUGGACUGUGGAGACCAUCAGUUCAUAACAUCCUGUCCCUGCUCCCUGCUGUAGAUGACUGAGACCAGGGUUCUUAAACAAGGGAGAAGCACUCUCAUACCCCUAGAACAAGAUGAACAAAAGAAGGAGGAAAAAUCUUGACCUCCGUAAGAUCCAGGAUGGCACGUGCAAGGCACUGACACAGCAUCUGCCGGCAUCACUGACUCUCCUGGACCCCAGAAGCCCAGUUCCCCAGGCUCUGAAACCCUGCAGCAAUGAAAAGGAAGCACAGGCAAACCAUAAGGAAGAUAAUUUUUCUACUAAAAAAUAAAUAGAAAUGCAUCCUUAGAGGCAGGUUUCAUGAGGACACAGAGAAUCCGGUUUUGUGUGUGCCUGAUUUCGUUUUUCUGUCAAAGAGAUACAAAACAAUCAACUGAGUUAUCUUGAACUUACAAAGAUUAAAAAUAAUCAAUUCCUGUUACUAUUUUCAAUUUUUCCCCCAUUUUACUUCUUUAGGUAUGAAGAAAUGUAGCCUAUUAAAACCUGGAUUAAUAAAAACCUUUCAUUAACUUUUAGAA
RNAcentral lists this long non-coding RNA (1366 nucleotides) under Homo sapiens (human). Its description in RNAcentral is "long intergenic non-protein coding RNA 3007". The record is from RNAcentral. Lineage: Eukaryota; Metazoa; Chordata; Mammalia; Primates; Hominidae.